RNAcentral lists this transfer RNA (78 nucleotides) under Bacteroidota bacterium. RNAcentral's name for it is "Bacteroidetes bacterium tRNA-Phe". It matches the Rfam family "tRNA". Rfam says of the family: Transfer RNA (tRNA) molecules are approximately 80 nucleotides in length. Their secondary structure includes four short double-helical elements and three loops (D, anti-codon, and T loops). Lineage: Bacteria; Pseudomonadati; Bacteroidota. The record is from RNAcentral.
GCAGCAGUAGCUCAGCCCAGUAGAGCACGAGACUGAAAAUCUCGGUUGUCGUUGGUGCGAAUCCAACCUGUUGCACCA